Molecule: long non-coding RNA, 1621 nt
Organism: Mesocricetus auratus (golden hamster)
Lineage: Eukaryota; Metazoa; Chordata; Mammalia; Rodentia; Cricetidae
Exons: 2
Source: RefSeq, a predicted model, not a curated record
UGCCUCUGCCUCCCUCAUGCUAAAAAUACAGGUGGGCAUCUUUAUCCCCAGGUCCUGUUUGAUUUAGACCAAACUGUCCUCUUCCCUUCCCCUCACACACUGGAAACUGACAAUGAGGAGGAGGAAGAUUGAAAGGAUAACCAGAAAACGGCAGCUGAAUCCAAGCCCAGGCGCUCUGCUUCCUUUCCAUGCUGCUGUGCAACCGGGGAAGCAAGGCUCCAGCAAGUGCUUUCCAAAGCUCAUCUGAAAACAAGGGCAGCCUGGUGCUACAUCCGUAUCCAUCUGUCAUGACUGCUGUCGGAGGCAACUGGGACCUGGUGGAGGUUCUCCACACAUGCUGGCCUGGGGGAAAUUAGUCUUCGGGGACACUGAAGGCAGUUUCCUCUGUUCAAUGACUCCUUGGCAACCCACGUGACAGCUCUGGCGGCAACUCGCCUGCUCUCAACUCCCAUUCUUAGGUGCCCCUAAAAACUGUAAGGCCUAGGGUGAGGAGAGCCUCAGACUGCAGAUGUGAGGGAGGCUGGGAGGACUCUCCAGGGAGUCAUUGCCUACCCUUGUAAACUCUGAUAUGGUCCAGCUUUUCCAUUCCACAACUGAGGAGAAUUGGACCUGGGAAGAGAGGAACCCUUUUUCUGACCUAUUUGCAAACUUCUGUCGCUGAGCGAAACCUGCAGGUGAAACUGUCUCUGCGCAUCUCUUGGGCCGAGCCCUUCCUUCCUGGGGACACCUGGGCAACAGAUCCUUCCUCAUGAAACAAUGUCAGACCCAUGCUUUCAGGACGUGGGAAGCUUCAGGUCUCAUGAUUCCACAGAGAUAGUGUAUCUUCCUCCCUCAUCCAUGUGGGACCAGGGACCAAAGAAGGUUAGAUGCUUCAGCUUACUCUUAGACCCUUCAGCCCCCAACAAGCAUGGACAUGAUUAAAAUCACUUUUUCCUGUUCCACAAGCUCACAGUCUUCAGAUACAGGGGAGCCAGAGCCCUCAUACGCUGAAAUUAGACCCUGAAAAGUAGGUUACCUGACAAUGACUUGUAUCUAAGUGGAGUGUGAUGUGGCAGGAGCUAGGAAUGGGCUGUCAGGGCUGCGCCUCCUUCCCAACUUACUACUGUCUCUUAACCUCUGGGUUCCUCGCUGGGAUGAUAAUUCUCCCCAUCUCCCUCCCUCUGGUGGGCUGGUGGAAAGCAUAAUGAAUCAAGGCUUGAAGCCUGCUGAAGAGGCCAGACUCGCGAUGCCAUGUAAGUACACAGCAUCACCAGCCACCUCUCGAGUCUACACGGAGUUGAUUUAUUUACCUCCCGUGAAACAGACAACAAUCAUCAUAUUUACACUUCUCGCCGCAGCUUCCUGCCUUGUUCCGCAGCGCCCCUCCCUCCCCUCCCUCCCCAUUGCCGAGACUCCAUUAAGCAUGCUGCCUUGUCAGUGAAGACAACCCUCUCCCAGGCUCUCUCUGGCCUUCCAGCUCAAGACCUUCUGCCCCAACGACCUGUCGCCCCCAAAACCACUGCACACAGGGGGCUGCAGUCUCUCCACGGGGAGGAUGAGGAAAUGAAUUCCAUAAGUAAAAGGCUUCCUUGGAAAUCAGGUGCUGCUAGUAAUUAAGAAGCGAAGCAGAGGUGCGUGAAAG